RNAcentral lists this ribosomal RNA (465 nucleotides) under uncultured bacterium. Its description in RNAcentral is "partial 16S ribosomal RNA". It matches the Rfam family "Bacterial small subunit ribosomal RNA", at positions 338 to 795 of the family's 1533-position model. The record is from RNAcentral.
CCUACGGGGUGCAGCAGUAGGGAAUUUUCGUCAAUGGGCGCAAGCCUGAACGAGCAAUGCCGCGUGAACGAGGAAGGUCUUCGGAGCGUAAAGUUCUGUUGAAGGGGAAAAAGAGCGGAGAGAGGAAAUGCUGUCUGAUUGAUAUUACCCAUCGAGGAAGUCACGGCUAACUACGUGCCAGCAGCCGCGGUAAUACGUAGGUGGCGAGCGUUAUCCGGAAUGAUUGGGCGUAAAGGGUGCGUAGGCGGCCUGCUAAGUCUGGAGUGAAAGGUACCGGCGCAACCGGUACAGGCUCUGGAAACUGGCGGGCUAGAGGGCAGGCGAGGGCGGUGGAACUCCAUGUGUAGCGGUAAAAUGCGUAGAUAUAUGGAAGAACAUCAGUGGCGAAGGCGGCCGCCUGGCCUGUUAACUGACGCUGAGGCACGAAAGCGUGGGGAGCAAAUAGGAUUAGAUACCCCUGUAGUC